UACGAAGGGGGCUAGCGUUGCUCGGAAUGACUGGGCGUAAAGGGUGCGUAGGCGGCAAGAUAAGUCAGGCGUGAAAUUCCUGGGCUCAACCUGGGGACUGCGUUUGAGACUGUUUAGCUAGAGGAUGGAAGAGGCUCGUGGAAUUCCCAGUGUAGAGGUGAAAUUCGUAGAUAUUGGGAAGAACACCGGUGGCGAAGGCGGCGAGCUGGUCCAUUACUGACGCUGAGGCACGAUAGCGUGGGGAGCAAACAGG
RNAcentral lists this ribosomal RNA (253 nucleotides) under uncultured bacterium. RNAcentral describes it as "partial 16S ribosomal RNA". It matches the Rfam family "Bacterial small subunit ribosomal RNA", at positions 524 to 776 of the family's 1533-position model. The record is from RNAcentral.